This 253-nucleotide ribosomal RNA is filed under the name uncultured bacterium. RNAcentral's name for it is "partial 16S ribosomal RNA". It matches the Rfam family "Bacterial small subunit ribosomal RNA", at positions 524 to 776 of the family's 1533-position model. The record is from RNAcentral.
UACAGAGGGCGCGAGCGUUGUCCGGAAUCACUGGGCGUAAAGGGCGCGUAGGUGGCGGCGCAAGCGGGCGGUGAAAGCCCGGGGCUCAACCCCGGGUCGGCCGUGCGAACUGCGUCGCUCGAGCAUGGUAGAGGCGGGUGGAAUUCCUGGUGUAGCGGUGGAAUGCGCAGAUAUCAGGAGGAACACCGGUGGCGAAGGCGGGUCUCUGGGCCGUUACUGACGCUGAGGAGCGAAAGCGUGGGGAGCGAACAGG